This 467-nucleotide ribosomal RNA is filed under the name uncultured bacterium. Its description in RNAcentral is "partial 16S ribosomal RNA". It matches the Rfam family "Bacterial small subunit ribosomal RNA", at positions 28 to 507 of the family's 1533-position model. The record is from RNAcentral.
GAUGAACGCUGGCGGCGCGCCUAACACAUGCAAGUCGAACGAUUAAAGCACCUUCGGGUGUGUAUAAAGUGGCGAACGGCUGAGUAACACGUGGGCAACCUGCCCCUCUCAUUGGGAUAGCCACGGGAAACCGUGGAUAAUACCGAAUACUUCGGGACUUCCGCAUGGAAGACUCGAGAAAGCUCCGGCGGAGAGGGAUGGGCCCGCGGCCUGUUAGCUUGUUGGUGGGGUAAUGGCCUACCAAGGCAAUGAUGGGUAGCUGGGUUGAGAGACCGACCAGCCAGAUUGGGACUGAGACACGGCCCAGACUCCUACGGGAGGCAGCAGUGGGGAAUCUUGCACAAUGGGCGAAAGCCUGAUGCAGCGACGCCGCGUGCGGGAUGAAGGCCUUCGGGUUGUAAACCGCUUUCAGCAGGGACGAGGCGAAAGUGACGGUACCUGCAGAAGAAGCCCCGGCUAACUGCGUG